Molecule: long non-coding RNA, 1618 nt
Organism: Dermochelys coriacea (leatherback sea turtle)
Lineage: Eukaryota; Metazoa; Chordata; Testudines; Dermochelyidae
Exons: 3
Source: RefSeq, a predicted model, not a curated record
UUUGUCAAGGUCCUUUUGAAUUCUAAUAAUGUACUCCAAAGUGCGAGCAACCCCUCCGAAUCUGGUGUUGUCCACAAAUUUUAUAAGCCUACUCACCAGUAUCAUUAUCCAAAUCAUUAAUGAAAAUAUUGAAUAAUAUCAGACCAAGGAUUGACCCCUGCAAGACUUCCCUAGAUAUACCCUCCCGGUUUGAUAGAAAACCAUUGAUAACUACUCUUUGAGUACAAUCUUUCAAACAGUUGUGCACUUAUAGUAUUGUGAUCUAGACUACAUUUUCCUAGUUUGCUUAUGAAAAUGUCAUGAGGGAUUGCGUGUCAAGAGCCUUACAAAAAUAAAGAUAUAUCAUACCUACUGCUUUCCCCUCUAUCCACUAGGCCAGUAGCACUGUCAAAGAAGGAAAUUGGGUUAGUCUGGCAUGAUUUGUUCUUGACAAAUCCAUGCUGGUUAUUACUUAUCACCCAAUUAUCCUCUAAUACUUACAAAUUGAUUGAAUAAUUUUUUCCAGUAUCCUUCAGGUAUUGAAGUUACGCUCACUAAUCUGUAAUUCCCCAGGUCCUCUUUGUUCUCCUUUUUAAAGACAGGUUCUAUGUUCUCCCUUCUCCUGCCCUCUGGAACCUCACCUGUCCUCCAUGGGUUCUUGAAGAUAAUUGCUAGCGGUUCUGUGAUUGUUUACACUAGUUCCUUAAGUACCUUAAGAUGCUGACCUGAAUACAUUUAACUUACCUAAAUAUUUUUUAUCCUGUUCUUUCCCUAUUUUUGGCUUGCUUUUCUUCCGCCUGCUUGUUAAUAUGAAUUGUGUUGUGUAUCUAGUCAUCAUUUUAGGGAAGACUGAAGCCAAAUAGGCAUUAAACACAUCAGCCUUCUUGAUAUCAUCAGUAUUAGCUCUCCUUCCCCACUAAGUGGAGAACCUAUCCUUCCCUUUGUCUUUCUUGAGCUCCUAAUGUAUUUAAAGAACCUCUUUGUAUUGCCUUUAUGUCCCUUGCCAGGUGUAAUUCAUUUUGUGCCUUAGCCUUCCUGAUUUUGUCCCUACAUCCUUGCACUAUUAUUUUAUACUCCUCCUUAGCCGUUUGUCCAUGUAUCCACUUAUUGUAGAGACUUUUUUGAUUUUUGGGUCACUAAAGAGCUCCUGAUGGAGCCAUGCUGGCCUCUUACAAUUCUUCCUAUCUUUCCUUUGCCUCAGAAUAAUUGGCAAUUGUGUAUUUAAUAUUGUUUCUUUGAGAAACUGCCAGCUGUCUUGAACUCUUUUAUCCCUUUUAUUUUCUUUCCAUGGAACCUUAGACGUUCUCUGAGUUUAACAUCUACUUUUUUGAAGUCCAUUGUCCUUAUUCUGUUGCUUUCACUCCUUCCUGUCUUUAGAAUCAUGAAAUCUAUUAUUUCAUGAUCAUUUUCACCCAAAUUGCCUUUCAUCUGCAGAUUUGCAAUCAAAUUUUCCUUUAGUCAGAAUAAACUCUAAAAUGGCUGUCCCCCUGGUUACUUCCUCCACUUUCUGGAACAAAAAGUUGUUCCCAACACAAUUAAAGAUCUUACUGGAAAUUUUCUGUUUUGCUAUAUUACUUUUCCAAGAGACGUCUGGGUAGUUAAAAUCCCCCACUACUUCCAGGGCUUUUUGAUGUUUCUU